UACGGGAGGCAGCAGUGGGGAAUUUUGGACAAUGGGGGCAACCCUGAUCCAGCCAUGCCGCGUGAGUGAAGAAGGCCUUCGGGUUGUAAAGCUCUUUCGGCCGGAACGAAAUCGCAUGGGCCAAUACCCUGUGUGGAUGACGGUACCGGAAGAAGAAGCACCGGCUAACUACGUGCCAGCAGCCGCGGUAAUACGUAGGGUGCGAGCGUUAAUCGGAAUUACUGGGCGUAAAGCGCGCGCAGGCGGCUCUUUAAGUCAGAUGUGAAAGCCCCGGGCUUAACCUGGGAACUGCGUUUGAAACUGGAGAGCUGGAGUGUGGCAGAGGGAGGUGGAAUUCCACGUGUAGCAGUGAAAUGCGUAGAGAUGUGGAGGAACACCGAUGGCGAAGGCAGCCUCCUGGGCCAACACUGACGCUCAUGCACGAAAGCGUGGGGAGCAAACAGGAUUAGAUACCCUGGUAGUCCACGCCCUAAACGAUGUCAACUAGUUGUUGGGAAGGGAAACUUUCUUAGUAACGAAGCUAACGCGUGAAGUUGACCGCCUGGGGAGUACGGCCGCAAGGUUAAAACUCAAAGGAAUUGACGGGGA
Molecule: ribosomal RNA, 588 nt
Filed under: uncultured beta proteobacterium
Lineage: Bacteria; Pseudomonadati; Pseudomonadota; Betaproteobacteria
Description: bacterial SSU rRNA
Rfam family: Bacterial small subunit ribosomal RNA
Source: RNAcentral